AAUGAACGCUAGCGGUAGGCCUAACACAUGCAAGUUGAACGCAUACUUUUACAGUAUAAGUAGCAAACGGGUGAGUAACGCGUGAGAAAUCUACCUUACAAUCUGGGAUAAAAUCCCGGAUUCUUUCUAAACUAGAUGUUCCGACAAAUAGUAUAGAAUAAAAGAUUAAAUGUCGUUGUAAGAUGUGCUCGCGUAGGAUUAGGUAGUUGGUGAGGUAAAAGCUACACCAAGCCGAAGAUCCUUAGCUGGUCUGAGAGGAUGAUCAGCCACACUGGGACUGAGACACGGCCCAGACGCUUUCGAGCGGCAGCAGUGAGGAAUUUUGGACAAUGGGCGAAAGCCUGAUCCAGCCAUAUCGCAUGAGUGAAGAAGGCUCAAUUGGUUGUAAAGCUCUGAUUUGAGUGAAGAUUAUGACAGAAGACCAAAGAAUAGUCCCGGCUAACUUCGUG
This 449-nucleotide ribosomal RNA is filed under the name uncultured bacterium. Its description in RNAcentral is "partial 16S ribosomal RNA". It matches the Rfam family "Bacterial small subunit ribosomal RNA", at positions 29 to 507 of the family's 1533-position model. The record is from RNAcentral.